This 789-nucleotide ribosomal RNA is filed under the name uncultured organism. RNAcentral describes it as "bacterial SSU rRNA". It matches the Rfam family "Bacterial small subunit ribosomal RNA", at positions 727 to 1510 of the family's 1533-position model. The record is from RNAcentral.
CACUGGGUCUCUUGUGACGUUGAGGCACGAAAGCUAGGGGAGCGAACGGGAUUAGAUACCCCGGUAGUCUUAGCUGUAAACGUUGUGCACUUGGUCGGAGAGUCCUCCAUAGCUUUCCGGUCGUAGAUAAAGUGAUAAGUGCUCCGCCUGCGUAGUAUGGUCCCAAGGCUGAAACUCAAAGGAAUUGACGGGGGCUCACACAAGCGGUGGAGGAUGUGGCUUAAUUCGAAGCUACUCGUAGAACUUUAUCCUGGGCUUGACAUGCUAGGAUUAACCUCCUGAAAGGGAGGCGACGCCUUCGGGUGGAACGUGCACAGGUGGUGCAUGGGCAUCGUCAGCUUGUGUCGUGAGAUGUCGGGUUAAGUCCCUUAACGAGCGAAACCCUUGUCACUAGUAGCCAGCGGGUAAUGCCGGGGACUCUAGUGAGACAUCCGGUGUUAAACCGGAGGAAGGUGGGGAUGACGUCAAGUCCUCAUGGCCUUUAUGUCCAGGGCUGCACACCUCCUACAAUGUUGCGUACAAAGGGAAGCAACUCGCGAGAGCAAGCAAAUCCCACAAAGCGCGCCCCAGUUCGGAUUGCACGUUGCAACUCGCCACAUGUCGCCGGAAUCGUUAGUAAUGGCAGGUCAGCAUACUGCGGUGAAUAUGUUCCUGAGCGUGGUACACACCGCCCGUCAAGCCACGAAAGUGGGGUGCAUCCGAAGUCGCCGUGGUAACCCUCAAGGGACGCAGCGUCGAAGAUGAACUCCCAGAUUGGGACGAAGUCCUAACAAGGUAACCAAGGGCGAA